CAUAGAGUCAUUAAGCAUCCCAGAAGCCUAUUUUGAAAGAUUUAUUAAAAAAUUUCUCUAUUAAUGGAGGUUGAUUUCAAAGUAAAAGCCUAUAAUACCUCAGUUAGACACAGUAAAUCAAAUUUGACCCUUACAUUUUGACUUCUUUUUCUUUUGAUCCUUGAGAUGUGGCAAAGCUUCAACCAUUUUAUUUCUUUCCUGCUCUUUUGGUUUCUUUCUUCUUCUUUCAUUAUCAUUUUUUUUUCAUGUGAACAGAGCAAGAGAGGAGAUCAGGGCAACAUCUUAAAUCCAAACCCUAUUUAUGCAGAUCAUGGGUUUCUCUUUCUGUUGGAGAAAUGGAGCCAAUUUCAUAGGUUUUCUCUUCCAAUCUUGAUUUGUAAUAAAGGUAUCAAGUUCCUUUUUAUUUUUUUCUUCAUGAUAUUGUUCAAAUCUUCAAGUUUUGUUUAUUAACUGUUUUGCUAAUUUGUUUUUUUAGAUGAUUUUCUAAUAUUUAAGGAUCGAGUUUUUAACUUUGUUGUUUAUUUUAGGCUCUUGAUGAUCAAAACAAUCUGUUCUUGGGUUUCACUGGAAUGCAGAAACCUAGCUGAUUGUUCUUGGUGUUCUAGGAAUUGGGUCCUUUAAUUUGGUUGAUCCUCACCAGAAAAAUGAGUUUUUAGCCUCUUUUGGUGUUGGGAUUUUGCAAUUUCAAAACUGAUGUUAAUUCCCAGAUUGCUUCCAUGGCACCAAACUAAUGUUUUUUUUACCUAGUUGUUGGCUGAUGGUGAUUCAUGAAAGUCUUUCUUUUCUACCAGUUACAGGUUGGUAAAAGAAUUCAUUAGUCAGAAUUGAACGAGAUUUUGAUGUUUUACGUUAACUUGAUUUUGACGUGGUUGGUAGUCUGAGCAUGAAAUCUUUCUUUUAUUUUUUCUACAUUGUUGCAGUGAACAAACACAUAGCUGUCAUCCAUUUUGCUAGCCAUGGUAGUAGGUAGUUGAAAGAUGAAUUCUUAUGACUAUUUUUAAAAAAACCCACUCUACGUUCAUUCUUUACAUGCUUGCAGGUAUUAAGAAUUUGCAAGGCUUGCUUUGUUGCUUCUGAUUUUUCAGUUGUCUGUAAAAAUGGUUGUUUCUCACGGUGGAUUACAUUUUAGAUAGUGAGCCUAAACAAUACCUACCAAACAUUUUAAAAAAAAAAAAAACAGAGCAAAGCCGCGGUUCUCUCUCUUUUUAUUUACAGCUUGUGGGAUAACUGGAGCUCACGGUGUCAAGGGGGUUUUGCUGUUGCCGCAGUCGUCCGUGGCUGGUUUUGUUGAAGCUGAAGAGGUCACUGAUUGCUGUACAUGGUGGAUGCUUCUAUUGUAUCUCUUGGGGGAAAAUGAGUACUGCUCACAGUGGUUAGUUCCGGUGGUGACUGUCAUCGUGGGGAAAGGGAGUUGUUGCUGGGUCAGUGGGUGAUAGUGGAGAAAAAUAAAAGGGAAAGAGAUGAGAAGGAUUGUCCACCCGAAAUUGAUAGAAAGGGGAUAUGCUGUUGAUUGUGGUAGAGUGAGGUUGAAGAUGAAGCUUGAUUUUUUUUCAAGAGAGAAGGUACUGGUUUUGGGAAUGAAGGCCAUGGUAGGAGGAGUGGCAAAUUGAUGGAAUCAAUGGGGUUUUUUGUUUACUUUGUAUGUAAAAAAAAAAAGAUGUAGAAUGGGGUUGAUGUAUGAUGCUGGAAAAGGGAAGGAGGCUGAUAGCUUAAAAAAAUAGAGCAACUUUAUUCAUCAAGUAAUCCAAAAUUAUUUUGGUUUUUUAUAUA
Molecule: long non-coding RNA, 1770 nt
Organism: Populus nigra (black poplar)
Lineage: Eukaryota; Viridiplantae; Streptophyta; Magnoliopsida; Malpighiales; Salicaceae
Exons: 3
Source: RefSeq, a predicted model, not a curated record